UACACACCGCCCGUCACACCAUGGAGUCAGUUGCUCCAGAAACGGCUGCGCUAACCCGCAAGGGGGCAGGUCUUUAAGGAGUGACUGGUAACUGGGUGUA
Molecule: ribosomal RNA, 100 nt
Filed under: uncultured bacterium
Lineage: Bacteria
Description: partial 16S ribosomal RNA
Source: RNAcentral